AAUAGAUACCCGGGUAGUCCACGCCGUAAAUGAUGAGUGCUAAGUGUUAGAGGGGUUUCCGCCCUUUAGUGCUGCAGCUAACGCAUUAAGCACUCCGCCUGGGGAGUACGGUCGCAAGACUGAAACUCAAAGGAAUUGACGGGGGCCCGCACAAGCGGUGGAGCAUGUGGUUUAAUUCGAAGCAACGCGAAGAACCUUACCAGGUCUUGACAUCCUCUGACAACUCUAGAGACAGAGCGUUCCCCUUCGGGGGACAGAGUGACAGGUGGUGCAUGGUUGUCGUCAGCUCGUGUCGUGAGAUGUUGGGUUAAGUCCCGCAACGAGCGCAACCCUUGAUCUUAGUUGCCAGCAUUCAGUUGGGCACUCUAAGGUGACUGCCGGUGACAAACCGGAGGAAGGUGGGGAUGACGUCAAAUCAUCAUGCCCCUUAUGACCUGGGCUACACACGUGCUACAAUGGAUGGUACAAAGGGCUGCAAGACCGCGAGGUCAAGCCAAUCCCAUAAAACCAUUCUCAGUUCGGAUUGU
RNAcentral lists this ribosomal RNA (527 nucleotides) under uncultured bacterium. RNAcentral's name for it is "bacterial SSU rRNA". It matches the Rfam family "Bacterial small subunit ribosomal RNA", at positions 777 to 1301 of the family's 1533-position model. The record is from RNAcentral.